This is a non-coding RNA of Lactuca sativa (garden lettuce), 5864 nucleotides long. NCBI's taxonomy places the organism in Eukaryota, Viridiplantae, Streptophyta, Magnoliopsida, Asterales, Asteraceae. The record is from RefSeq and is a predicted model, not a curated record.
AUAUAUAUUAAAAUUUUCGUUUCUUAUCUACAGUAAUGUGUUGUGCUUUAGGAUACUUUUAGUCCUUCUACUUUCAAAGUUUGUCUAUUCUUUAAUUUUCUUUUCUUUUGUAAGAUUCUUCGUGUUAUCCCUGUACUUACUUUUCUUUGUUAUUCCCUUAUUUUAUGCAUUUUCCUUUUCUUAACGUCUACCGGUCACUUCUCUCUACGUGGCCUUUUCUCAUUUCCUUUAUGAUGCACGUGUUAUGCUUCCUAAUUUCUUUCUUCUUUCUUCUCCACCGUUCUUCCUUUUUUGUUCUUACUUCUUUCUUCCAAAAGGUAAAUUUUGUCUCUUCUGUUGUCUUUCUUCUUUAGUAUCUGUUGUCUUUCGUUGUUUUCUGAGUUUUUUUUGUCACUUUUUUUUGAUCGAUUUAUUAUGGCCCCUCGACCGAAACGGCUAUCUUCACCUGGUGCUUCAUCCUCUGUUCCAAGAACUCGCAGGUCGCGUCAUUCUCUCUUCUUUGUUGGCCUUCCUGACUAUGUUGAUUCGGGUGACUGUACGUGUGUUUGCGAAUUUUGUGGCGCCUAUUUCUGGUAUGUUGAAAGGGCGCUCAAACUUUCUACGCCUGCUCAUCCGAAGUAUUAUCAUUGUUGUCGGGAUGGUGAUGUCGUUCUUCCUUAUCCUUCGAGGUUUCAUCCUGAAUUUCUUGAUUUGUAUCAAAAUGCUACAUUUUUGAAAGACAUUAUCGCAUAUAAUAGCAUGUUCUCUAUGACUUCAUUUGGGGCGAAUAUAGAUAAGUCUGUCAAUGACAAUCGGGGCCCUUAUGUUUUCAAGAUAUCUGGUCAAAUUUCUCAUAGGAUAGGAUCGUUGUCCCCGGAUCCUACAAAGGGCCCUAGAUUUCUGCAGCUUUAUCUUUUUGAUACAGAGAAUGAGGUUCGGAAUAGAUUGAGGGCUUUUGGAGGUCCGACGGGAACGGCUUUAGAUCCUAAUAUUGUGCAGUAUUUGGUUACAUUCUUAGGGGCUAACAACGAGUAUGUAAAAACGUUUAAAACAGCAAAGACCAUGGCUGAGGAAAAUAAUUUAGAAAAUUAUAGUGUACGGCUGUUUAACAACGUUGUUGAUCGUAGGUAUGAAUUCCCUUCCCCUGGAUCCUUGGGAUGUAUAGUAACUGGUGAUGACACUACCAGUAUGACAUAUGACAUUGUUGUAUUUUCGCAUUCGGGUCGGCCUCAACGCAUUAGUAAAUUGCAUCCCUCUUAUAUGCCUUUACAAUAUCCACUUUUGUUUCCUUAUGGUGAGGAGGGGUGGUCACCCCGUUUGAAGAUGCGUAAUCAGAGGGGAGUAAGUGCAAAAAGUCUCACUGUCAAUAUGUAUUACGCGUACCAUAUACAUGCCCGACAUCAGAUUUGGUCUCCAAUUGUAAAUGCCACUAGGCUUUUCCAGCAAUAUUUAGUUGAUGCAUAUACGUGUAUAGAGGAAGGCCGAUUGGAUUAUAUAACCAAACAUCAAUCAAACUUACGUUCCGAUUAUGUGAGUGGGCUUUAUGAUGCGCUAUCAAAGGGGGACCGGGAAGCACGUGUUGUUGGUAAGCGUGUUUUUUUGCCCGCAUCAUUCACUGGUGGUCCCCGGUUUAUGUAUAGCCAUUAUCAGGAUGCGCUUACGAUCUGUAGAGUUUAUGGCAAUCCACAAUAUUUUAUCACUUUCACAUGUAAUGUGAAGUGGCCAGAGAUUACCCGCUAUAUGGAGACACAUUCACAGAGAGAUGUACACAGUAGAGCGGAUAUCAUAGCCAGAAUGUUCCAUGUGAAAGUCCAUGAGUUUAUCGAUUUCCUUAAGAAGGACAAAACCUUUGGCGAUGUUGAUGCAUAUUUAUAUACUAUCGAAUUCCAAAAAAGGGGUCUACCGCACUGUCAUACUUUGCUGUGGGUAAAGGCGGCUGACCGAAUAAAAAACGCAUCCGAUGUCGAUAUGUACAUAACAGCUGAGAUGCCAGAUCCAACAACAGAUCCGGCACUAUAUCAGACAAUCACAAGCUGCAUGAUUCAUGGACCAUGUGGACCACUAAAUCCAAAAGCUCAGUGUAUGAAGGACGGUAAAUGUAGUAAAGGUUAUCCUAAACCUUUUCUUCAUGCUACAUUGUUCGAUACUGAGGGAUACGUUCGGUAUAAACGAAACCCAAAUUCACACCAUAUGACCCUAUCCGGACAGGUUAUAGAUAACGGAUACGUUGUUCCGUACAACAGAAGGCUUUCCUCACGAUUUCAGGCACACAUCAACGUCGAGUACUGCGGAUGGAAUAUGAUGAUUAAAUAUCUCUUCAAAUAUAUUUCUAAAGGGGCAGACCGCGUCAGAUAUGCAAUCCAAAAGGCAGAAUCGCCCCGCGCGUCCACUUCCGUCACAGUGGAUAGCCAUCAUAACACACGUGGAGGUUCAGCGGUUACUCCUGUGAACGAGGUGCAGAAUUUUCUAGAUGGUCGCUAUAUCUGUCCCCACGAAGCAGCCUGGCGUAUCCUAAACUUUCACAUACAUCAUCGGUACCCGCCAGUUCAGAUCCUGUCUGUACAUGAGGAGAACAUGCAGCAAUUAUUAUUCAAGGAGGACAGCACAAUACCUCAAGUGCUGUCAAACCCAUUCAGCUCUGUCACCACACUUCUAGGCUGGUUUCGCAACAACAGGAGGGAUCCAAGUGGACAUGAACUUACAUAUCUAGAAUAUCCAAAGUCUUACAAAUGGGACAAGUCAUCUAAAUCCUGGGAGCCUAGGGUUGAUGACUCCUCAAAGGUGCUUGGCCGACUUGUCUUUGUUCAUCCAACAUCUGGCGAGUUAUUUUACCUACGAAUGCUACUCUGUCACCAAAAGGGUUGCACAUCUUUUGAAGACCUGCGGACCGUUUCUGGCACCAUUUAUCCUACGUAUAGGGCUGCAUGCAAUGCAUUAAAAUUGAUUGGUGAUGAUACGGAAUGGUUAUCUGCAUUCACAGAGGCAUCAAUAUGGGCGACCUCUGCACAACUUCGUUCCCUUUUCUGUCAACUAUUGCUUUUUUGCGAAGUUAGCAGUCCACAAUUGCUUUGGGAAUGCGCAUGCGAUAAGAUGAAAGAUGACUACCUAUAUUCCAUAAAAAGAGAAAUGCCAGAUAGGGGACUUAAUUCUGUUGCAGACAUAGUACAUCAGCAACUGCUCAGCGAUCUCGAUCACACCUUACGCUCUUCCGUACCACCUAAGUCAAUGGCGGCAUUUGGUCUUCCAGUCCCUUCAAAUGAUAUACAUGGUAUUUUGCAGAAUCGUCUUCUACUUGAAGAAAUGAGUUACGACAAAGAAGCUCUACAAAGAGAACAUGAUAAUAUGCUGCCAAUGCUAAAUUCUGAACAGUUGUCAGUUUACAAUUCUGUCAUCUCUUCAAUUAAAAACAAUGAACAAAUACUGGUCUUUGUAUAUGGACAUGGGGGUACUGGAAAAACCUUCCUUUGGAGAACAAUUAUCUCCCAUAUUAGAUCCAAAGGGAAAAUUGUGCUGGCCGUUGCUGCUUCUGGAAUCGCGUCCCUUUUAUUACCUUCUGGGAAAACGGCGCAUUCAAGGUUCAAAAUUCCUAUUGACCUAACAGAUAAGAAAUCAUGUGACAUAAAAAAGAGAACAUCCCUUGCCGAUCUUUUACAGCGUACAUCACUCAUCAUUUGGGAUGAGGCACCAAUGAGUGACAGAAGAUGCUUUGAGUUUCUUGACCGCUCUCUUAGAGAUGUCUUAGAUUGUAAUGAAAAGUUGUUUGGAGGCAUAUCAGUUCUACUAGGUGGUGAUUUCCGCCAAACCCUCCCAGUCCUACCAAGAUCAACACGUUCGGAAAUCAUAGCCUCAACACUUCCAUGUUCAUACCUGUGGCGGUCUUUCACUGUUCACAUCCUACACACGAACAUGAGAGUUAAUUCUUCUGAAAGACCCACCGGUUGUUCAAUGUCCACGUCGGCUUUCACAGGUUGGUUGCUUCGUAUUGGAAAUGGACAGAUGGGGAUGCCUGACAAUGACGACCCUCAGGACACAAGUUGGUUAGAAAUCCCUGACUCUCUUCUAAUAAAACCCGGAAAUGACUCCCUAAAUUCAUUAAUAAAUUUUGUAUAUGGAGAUGGUGUCCUUAAUAAUCCGACUGCGGUUGACCUUUCGGCAAGAGCUAUAGUUACGCCGACAAAUGAUGUUGCAGACAACAUAAAUACAACGGUUUUGGGGAUGGUGUCAUCGGAGGAGAGAACCUAUAAGAGUAUAGACAUUAUCCAACCAAUCGGCAAGCAUACAUCGGAUUUUGAGGGCCUGUAUCCAACCGAAUACCUAAACCAACUCAAUUUCCCUGGAAUACCACCUCACGAACUUACACUAAAACUCCAUUGUCCCAUAAUGUUGCUAAGAAACAUAAACCAAAGAGAGGGUUUAUGUAAUGGUACACGACUUAUAGUGUCGCAGUUGCUAACAAACAUAAUUGAAGCAACAAUCAUGACUGGCACCUUCAUUGGCAAGCGCGUUUACAUCCCCCGUAUAAAGUUUAUACAUAAGUCAACAGAUAUGCCAUUUACUUUCUCACGAAAACAAUUUCCACUGAAAGUCUGCUACGUGAUGACUAUCAACAAAAGCCAAGGACAGUCACUACGUAGAAUUGGUGUAUAUUUAGCACAACCUGUUUUCUCACACGGUCAACUCUAUGUUGCCCUGUCACGAGCAACAUCAUCAGAUUCCAUAAAAAUAUUGAUAGAAAAUACAAACCCAAUUCACCUGAAUCGAACAAAAAAUGUUGUUUUCAGAGAUCUAUUGGAGAAAGUUAAUUCACCUCAGGUCCAUAGUAUCACUACCAAUCCCCUUUCCAACAUUAUCAUACCUUUCAUAGAGCGCUAUCUAAAUAUAUGUUUUUAUUUUUUUUUAUUUUAUUUUUUGUUUACUGAGUGACAAGUUUCAAACCUUCUUAUACUGUUCAUAAAACAUUAUCUAAAAUUUUUUUAUACUUUUAUUAUAUGUAUCUUUAAUUAUAUUUAUUUUUACAUACCUGUACAGUAUGCUUGCAGCAUAUCCUACAUUUAUAUCCGAACAUGACACUCAUUUUGAUAUGUUUAUUCGACAUACAAAAUACAGCCGACCAAUGAGUAGCAUUUCUGAGCUAAAGACGGAUGGUAUUGGAGGCCCAUUACAAGUUAGAAUAGUACGUAAAUGGAGACACGACGUAAGGCGCUAUGAAACCUGGUAUCUGGCUGUCGACAGAUUUGGUGAUGCCAUACAGAUUCUUGGUCAACGAACUAACCAGAGCUACAUCGAAUCUGUUCUCAACCUUUCGCACUGCUAUACCAUCUCGGAUUAUAGCUGCCCCAUGUUAGACAAGUAUCAGAAAUUCCUACAAAAUGACUUUUAUAUUGAUGUCGGCCUUAUGUCUGUGAUAGAACAGAUUCCGGACACACUGACAAUACCGAAAAACUGGUUUCACUUUCUCUCAAAGCGACAACUCAUAGACCUUGGAGACACACCAUCUUAUUACCCAGACUACAUUGGUGUCCUCUCAAAAAUCAGAGACUGCGUGAAAGUGGGUGGUGAGUCAUAUGUAUUGCUGAUUUUAACUGAUGAAAGUGGUAGUGAACUCGCGAUCAAUUUAUGGAAAGAGUGCAUAACCAAUCCACAGAAAUUCGAUCGCAACUCCUUGCAGCCACCGCCAGCAACAACAGUUGUCGCUGUCACCAACUUAAAGCCUUCCAUAUCUAACGGGGCUCUGCGUCACGGUUCAUCACAUGCUACCCAUGUCUAUGUCAACCCAGACAUACCAGAAACAACAUCACUUAUAAACCUGUAAGGCACCCAUACAAACAUUACACAUCAUGUCCAGUAAAUUAACAACUGUAUACUAAUAACAACAUCCUGUCAGA